CUACGGGUGGCACCAGUCGAGAAUCUUCCGCAAUGGACGAAAGUCUGACGGAGCGACGCCGCGUGCGGGAUGAAGGCCUUCGGGUUGUAAACCGCUGUCAGUGGGGAGGAAAUGCAUCAGGGUUCUCCCUGGUGUUUGACCGAUCCGCAGAGGAAGCGCAGGCUAAGUUCGUGUCAGCAGCCGCGGUAACACGAACUGCGCGAACGUUAUUCGGAAUCACUGGGCUUAAAGAGUUCGUAGGCGGCCUUUCAAGUCGGGUGUGAAAUCCCUCGGCUCAACCGAGGAAUUGCGCCUGAUACUGUUGGGCUUGAGGGGGAUAGGGGUGAGCGGAACUGAUGGUGGAGCGGUGAAAUGCGUUGAUAUCAUCAGGAACACCGGUGGCGAAGGCGGCUCACUGGAUCUCUUCUGACGCUGAGGAACGAAAGCUAGGGGAGCGAACGGGAUUAGAUACCCCGGUAGUC
RNAcentral lists this ribosomal RNA (461 nucleotides) under uncultured bacterium. Its description in RNAcentral is "partial 16S ribosomal RNA". It matches the Rfam family "Bacterial small subunit ribosomal RNA", at positions 339 to 795 of the family's 1533-position model. The record is from RNAcentral.